Molecule: ribosomal RNA, 227 nt
Filed under: uncultured bacterium
Lineage: Bacteria
Description: partial 16S ribosomal RNA
Rfam family: Bacterial small subunit ribosomal RNA
Source: RNAcentral
AUGCGAAUCUCGAAAGCCUGUCUCAGUUCGGAUUGGAGGCUGAAACCCGCCUCCAUGAAGUUGGAUUCGCUAGUAAUCGCGCAUCAGCCAUGGCGCGGUGAAUACGUUCCCGGGCCUUGUACACACCGCCCGUCGAGCCAUGGGAGCCGGGGGCGCCUGAAGUUCGUGACCGCAAGGAGCGACCUAGGGCAAAACUGGUGACUGGGGCUAAGUCGUAACAAGGUAUC